RNAcentral lists this ribosomal RNA (498 nucleotides) under uncultured bacterium. RNAcentral describes it as "partial 16S ribosomal RNA". It matches the Rfam family "Bacterial small subunit ribosomal RNA", at positions 28 to 507 of the family's 1533-position model. The record is from RNAcentral.
GACGAACGCUGGCGGCGUGCCUAAUACAUGCAAGUCGAACGAGAGCGACCGGUGCUUGCCCUGGUCAAUCUAGUGGCGAACGGGUGAGUAACACGUGGGUAACCUGCCCAUCAGAGGGGGAUAACAUCCGGAAACGGAUGCUAAAACCGCAUAGGUCUUCGAGCCGCAUGGCUUGAAGAGGAAAAGAGGCGCAAGCUUCUGCUGAUGGAUGGACCCGCGGUGCAUUAGCUAGUUGGUGAGGUAACGGCUCACCAAGGCCGUGAUGCAUAGCCGACCUGAGAGGGUGAUCGGACACAUUGGGACUGAGACACGGCCCAAACUCCUACGGGAGGCAGCAGUAGGGAAUCUUCCGCAAUGGACGCAAGUCUGACGGAGCAACGCCGCGUGAGUGAAGAAGGUUUUCGGAUCGUAAAACUCUGUUGUUAGAGAAGAACAAGUGCUAGAGUAACUGUUAGCGCCUUGACGGUAUCUAACCAGAAAGCCACGGCUAACUACGUG